Molecule: ribosomal RNA, 468 nt
Filed under: uncultured bacterium
Lineage: Bacteria
Description: partial 16S ribosomal RNA
Rfam family: Bacterial small subunit ribosomal RNA
Source: RNAcentral
GACGAACGCUGGCGGCGUGCUUAACACAUGCAAGUCGAACGGAAAGGCCCUGCUUUUGUGGGGUGCUCGAGUGGCGAGCGGGUGAGUAACACGUGAGUAACCUGCCCUUGACUUUGGGAUAACUUCAGGAAGCUGGGGCUAAUACCGGAUAGGAGCUCCUGCUGCAUGGUGGGGGUUGGAAAGUUUCGGCGGUUGGGGAUGGACUCGCGGCUUAUCAGCUUGUUGGUGGGGUAGUGGCUUACCAAGGCUUUGACGGGUAGCCGGCCUGAGAGGGUGACCGGCCACAUUGGGACUGAGAUACGGCCCAGACUCCUACGGGAGGCAGCAGUGGGGAAUAUUGCACAAUGGGCGGAAGCCUGAUGCAGCAACGCCGCGUGCGGGAUGACGGCCUUCGGGUUGUAAACCGCUUUCGCCUGUGACGAAGCGUGAGUGACGGUAAUGGGUAAAGAAGCACCGGCUAACUACGUG